CUUUCAUAGUCUAAACACCUAGAAAUUAAUUACAGGAAUAUAUCUACCCUCUAACAUCUAUCUAUCUAAUGUCAGUUUUAGUAAGAGGGAUCAGAUAUUCACUUAGCAGAACAAUUUCCCCCUCCUUUGUUUGGAAACUUUUCUUUAGUUUGCUUUCCUUCUUCUUUAUGGUUUUGUGUCCUCUUGGCUAACUGCUCUCUGUAUUUCAUUCUGCUCCACUGGCUCCUUUGAAGUUAUUUAUGAUUUAAUUGUAUUUAUUCACUUAACACAGAUGCAUCUGUGUCCCAUUCCCAAUAGAAGGGUUUUCAUUUCAUCUCUGUCACUAAAUGCUAACGUCUCAUGCAUUUCUUACCUCUACAAGCCUUUUACAGUGUCGUUCCUAUGGUAACUUAAUGUGAUUCCUUUUAACAGAGCUUACAGUAUAAUCACUAGAGUUUUUAUUUGUAGUGCAGAGGUUCUUUUUCGUUUGUGUGUUUUGUUUUUGUUUGCUGCCUUGUAUCUGUGAUUGUAAAUUGCUUUAUAAUCCUAUUCUAAUGAACACUACACAGUUGAUGUCUGUUUCUACUUCAGGCAUGGCUUGGAAAUGUUUCAUCUGCUUUUCGUUUUUGUUUGUUGACAACAUGGUGGUGAAAAGGGUUGCUUCUUAAAUCCACAGCAAAUCUUUUGAUGAAAACCAUUGAUUUGCCCACUUCUCCACCUUCAUAUAUAAAUGCAGCUAGCAGUCUAAUAUAGAAUAGACUUAGCAUUCUCUAAACUAGGAGAAGACUUGCUCCCACUCCUUUUCACUCCCUUACUAACUCUUAUUGUCCCUGCCAUGGUUUGCAAAUCCAAGUCAAACCAUGGUAGUUCAAAAUGAAAAUAACAAUCAGAUCAUAACAACAAACAACUUAACAGGAGCUCUGAGCCCAGCAACUUGCGUCAUUUCAAGAAGGUCAUCAAAUCAGUUCCUUGUUCCAACAAAGUAAGAUUUCCCAAAAUUAAUUGCCUAUGGCUUAGCAGCACCACAUAUAUGCGCAGACUCCCCAGAGAGGAGCUUGUGGGUGCUUUGCACCUCUCUGGUCCUUUGUGCAGCUGCUUCGCAAGUCAUUGGAAAUUAGGCUUGUGGUUUAAGCUCUUUCCUCAUGAACCAUGGGCUGUUGUUUUGUUGCUAGUGUGUUUGGCAUAGUGUGAUGUGCAAACGAAGCUGUUUAGUUUUUAGUUCCACAAUGAAUUUGAGUUAUGUUAGCAAGAAUAUUCCCGAAUGACCUUAAUUCCAUCUCUUUUGGGUUAAUUGUUUGAUCCAGUUUGAAGAGACAACUUUUUCCAUAUUCCACUUCUUCAUACUAUCAUGGACACCUAAUCUCCAGAGAUUCCCUAAAUAACCAAGAUACCCAUGCCUUCAAAAUAUUUUUGAGUCUUAAGAGAAUUGGUGGACCUGACCCUGUUAAUUCACGGCAUUAGUUACCCCUGCCAAAUGAUGGUACAUCUAAGUUUCUCCAUGUUCAUGCCUCAUUCAUUGCCUAUAUAGCGACCGGUGCCAAGAAGCAUAUUCAAAAGGAAUAUUUUGUAAUGUGCAGGUCUAAAAAUUGGCAUUCUCCUUUAAUUCUGUAGAACUGUGUAAAUUUAAAAUGAUUACCAUACAAUAGCAGCUAGUCAGAAGUCACAAACUGAUAGGAGUUUUUAAUAUAUAUAUAUUUUGAGGUCAAGCAAGGUCAAAAUUCCAUUUGAUUGCAAUUGCCUUUCUACUUUCUUAAAAAAACAUUUAAACUAACACUGUUGAUAUCCAUUUUUUUAUGUAGACCUGUUCACUAGCCAAUAGUAUUAGUCAUCCAAAACACAUCAUAUGGAUUAAUGGAUAAGAAUUUUCUGGCAUCUUACUGCUAACAGUUUGAUACCAGCUGAUCUUUUUUCAAUUACACUUAUUUUUUAAUCUCUAAAUUUAAUCUAUUCAAAUGAUAAGCAAGUUUGAGAUUUCAGCAAGUCCAGUUGCUUAUCAAUAGAUCAUCCGGAUAAAACUCUUGGAUCUCACAAUUCUGCUUUAAGAACAAGUCCUCCAGUCCUUAAAGGUUGCAGUCCUGUGUGCAUCCAUCUUGGAACAGACCCACAACUACAUGGGGGCAUUUUGGGGCUCCCCGCUAGUAUAAAAGUAGCAGACCCCAGUCAGAAGCUCAUCCCUUCCCCCAUAAUGUUGGUGACGGCUAAUGUUUCAAUGGCAACUGGGUUGCCUUCAUUG
Molecule: long non-coding RNA, 2212 nt
Filed under: Podarcis lilfordi (Lilford's wall lizard)
Lineage: Eukaryota; Metazoa; Chordata; Lepidosauria; Squamata; Lacertidae
Source: RNAcentral